AAUCAACGCUGGCGGCGUGCCUCAGACAUGCAAGUCGAACGAUUAAACUUCGUCUUCGGAGAAGAUAUAAAGUGGCGCACGGGUGAGUAACACGUAGGUAAUGUACCUUUGGGUGGGGAAUAACUUAGGGAAACGUUAAGCUAAUACCGCAUAAUGCAGCGGCUCCUUCGGGAGACAGUUGUUAAAAGAUUUAUCGCCUAAAGAGCAGCCUGCGGCAGAUUAGCUAGUUGGUAAGGUAACGCUACCAAGGCUACGAUCUGUAUCCGACCUGAGAGGGUGGUCGGACACACUGACACUGAAUAAC
RNAcentral lists this ribosomal RNA (304 nucleotides) under uncultured bacterium. Its description in RNAcentral is "bacterial SSU rRNA". It matches the Rfam family "Bacterial small subunit ribosomal RNA", at positions 32 to 327 of the family's 1533-position model. The record is from RNAcentral.